AAUCAUCAUGCCCCUUAUGACCUGGGCUACACACGUGCUACAAUGGACGGUACAAAGAGCUGCAAGACCGCGAGGUGGAGCUAAUCUCAUAAAACCGUUCUCAGUUCGGAUUGUAGGCUGCAACUCGCCUACAUGAAGCUGGAAUCGCUAGUAAUCGCGGAUCAGCAUGCCGCGGUGAAUACGUUCCCGGGCCUUGUACACACCGCCCGUCACACCACGAGAGUUUGUAACACCCGAAGUCGGUGGGGUAACCUUUUUGGAGCCAGCCGCCUAAGGUGGGACAGAUGAUUGGGGUGAAGUCGUAACAAGGUAGCCGUAUCGGAAGGUGCGGCUGGAUCACCUCCUUUCUAUGGAGA
This 356-nucleotide ribosomal RNA is filed under the name Brucella abortus. RNAcentral describes it as "bacterial SSU rRNA". It matches the Rfam family "Bacterial small subunit ribosomal RNA", at positions 1188 to 1533 of the family's 1533-position model. The record is from RNAcentral. Lineage: Bacteria; Pseudomonadati; Pseudomonadota; Alphaproteobacteria; Hyphomicrobiales; Brucellaceae.